CCUACGGGAGGCAGCAGUGAGGAAUAUUGGUCAAUGGGCGGAAGCCUGACCCAGCCAAGUCGCGUGAGGGAUUAAGGCCCUGCGGUUCGUAAACCUCUUUUGCCGGGGAGCAGUGGUCCGGACGCGUCCUGACCGGGAGAGUACCCGGAGAAAAAGCAUCGGCUAACUCCGUGCCAGCAGCCGCGGUAAUACGGAGGAUGCGAGCGUUAUUCGGAUUUAUGGGGUUUAAGGGGUGCGUAGGCGGGCAUUUAAGCCGGCGGUCAAAUGUCGGGGCUCAACCCCGGCAUGCCGUCGGAACUGGGUGCCUUGAGUGGGCGAGAGGUAUGCGGAAUGCGUGGGGUAGCGGGGAAAUGCAUAGAUAUCACGCAGAACCCCGAUUGCGAAGGCAGCAUACCGGCGCCCUACUGACGCUGAGGCACGAAAGUGCGGGUAGCGAACAGGAUUAGAUACCCCAGUAGUC
RNAcentral lists this ribosomal RNA (460 nucleotides) under uncultured bacterium. RNAcentral's name for it is "partial 16S ribosomal RNA". It matches the Rfam family "Bacterial small subunit ribosomal RNA", at positions 338 to 795 of the family's 1533-position model. The record is from RNAcentral.